This 2898-nucleotide long non-coding RNA is filed under the name Citrus maxima (pomelo). Its description in RNAcentral is "long non-coding RNA (CMAX_LNC000546)". The record is from RNAcentral. Lineage: Eukaryota; Viridiplantae; Streptophyta; Magnoliopsida; Sapindales; Rutaceae.
ACUUGUCUUCCUCCGUAUUAUCAUUUUCCAAGUUCUUGACUGGACUUUGUUCAACCGAUUCUGAUUCAGGUAUGAGGCCUCUGCUAUUACUUUCUUCCAUGUCGUGGUGUCCAUUAUUCUCUCCUUCUGACUUUUCUUCCUCGUGUAUAUUCCCUUCAGUGACAAGUGUUUCUUGUUCAAUUGACAGUGGUGAGGUGUAUGUGUCAUUGCCUUGUUUGGAAACCUCUGGAACCUUAUCAUCUUCUUCAGAGCUUUUUUCACUUUUCCCUUCUUCAAAUUCACCAGACAGUUGUGAGAUGGAUGUAUCAUUGCCUUGUUCGGAAAUCUCUGCAACAUUUUCAUCUUCUUGCACGCUCUCUUCAAUUUUAUUUUCUUCAACUUCUCUAGACUGAUCAACAUUCUUUUCCAUCUCUACAGUUUGUUUUUCAGCAACCUCACUUGCAUUUGUUGUCUCGAGUUCCACACUUGACUAUAAAAGAAAUCAAGAUUUUACCUUUUUAAUAUGAUUAAAACAGGUUUUGAAAGAAGGUUCAAAAAAUGAAAUAGACAAGUAAUAACUUUAGCUAUGUUACAUAAGAGAUAAUUCAAAAGUUAAUUUAUUUUCUCACCUCCUCCGUGGCUGUUUUGCUGUAGUCAAUGUCAUUUUUCAUUUCCGCUUUUUCAUUUCCUUCUACCUGCAGAGUUUCUUCAAGUUUCUGAGUAGGUCCUUCCUCCUCAUCACCGGGGGAUUUAUCAGCAUCUGAAUUGAAUGCCUCAUUUUUUUCAGAUAUCUUAGACAAUAAUUGUGGAAGCUCAUCUCCUGGUUCAUUUUUCUGUAAAAUCGGGGUCAAAUCUUCUACAGUUUUUGAUGUUUUCUUUCCAUUGUCAUCUUUAACAUCAGCAGGCUCAGAAUAAUCGCCACUUUCUUCUGCGACCAUGGCAGGGUUUAUGUCCUCAUUUCUUUUCUCCUCCAGUGAAGAGUCUCCUUUCACUUUUGAAUCAUCAACAAUUUCUUUGGGGCUUUCUUUGUUUUUACUUGUCUCCUGUCCAAUGCUGUCAGUGGCUUCUGCUGUAUCUGAUUUCUCAGGAAUCUGCAUAUGAAUUUAAAUUUCAAAUAAACAAACUAGACUAUGAGCUAAAACUUGAAAAAGAAACAAGUAUCCUGCAAACCUCUCCUGUGGACUCCUGCUCUAAGUUCUUGACUGGAACUUCUUCAACUGAUUCAGGUGCAAGGCACCUAAUGCUGCUGUCUUCUGUGACCUGUUCUAUGUCAUUCUCUCCUUCUGAUCUUUCUGCCACGUUUCCUUCAGAGCUCUCAACAUUUGGUUUUUCAAUUGAUUCUGCUGAAAUGUGUGCAACAUUGCCUUCAAUGACCUGUCCAUCAAUGGCCACUACACUGUCCGUGAUCUUAGUUCCAUCAUGCACCUGCAUUGGCAGAAGGGGCUUCACCAACCAUUGUAAGAUUGAAAAUCAAUGAAAAUGUAAAUUAGCAUGUGAUUUUGUGUUUGUUCUUUCACGAAUAUUAUGAUCAAACCUCUUCAUGGGUGAUGUUAUUCCUCUUCUCAUUAUCUCCUGCUAUGCCGCUCUCAUCUUGAUCGGUCAAUUCUGGUGCAACCUCCAGAGGACUUCUUUCUGCUUGAAUAUUUUCCUUAGCCUUCUCAUCUCUGACAAAUACGGCGUUGUUGACUUCAACUGAGGUUUCAGCAUCAGCAACUGCAACAGUUAUUCGAGGCCAUCAGUAUCAAAUUGUUCCAUCUCUCUCUCUCACAACCACACAUGGAUAGUCAUUCACACAUCAAUUCACGAUAAUUUCAUAAACUGGUAAUUUGUUGAUACAUUCUAGAUUGCAGUUUGUACGCUCUUUGACAUAUAUAAAACUUAAGAGUAUCUUGUCAUCUCGCCAAGAUGUUGAUGAGGCUUUGAAUCUUCAAUUAUUUACUGAUAUAUUCCUUCUUGUUCCUUUCACAUAGAAGGUGCUAACAAAAUUUAUAUAAUAAUUACUUUUUUUCCUAUAUCUAACUUUUCAAUGCUAAAUUUCCAAAACACUUACUGUUUGCUAAUAUUUCUUCUGUUGUUGCAUCACAAGCCUCUCCAAUCUUCUGCGUCUCCUGAUCUGUGUUCUCCCCCUUGUCCACGAUCACAGAUGUUUUGUCAAAGUCUAAUCCAGAAGCCUCUUGGAGUUUCUUUUCAUCUGUUUCACUUGCUUUUAGGAUUAGUUCAGCUGAUUCUGCCUCUUCAAGAGGCGUCUGCUCAAUGAUUGUGGAAUUUGAACUCUGGCAGGCUUCAGGUGCAUCUUCAAUGUCCUUCUCCUCUUCUUUUGUGUAUGCUUCGUUUGCUUCCUGAAUUGUUCCUUUAGGUUCAGUUUUGAUGACUUUUUCCAAAUCUUUGCCUUCAGUUUCUCCUGCCUCCUCGUCCAACACUGGAAUGUCAUGUAAAUCACUGGCAUUUUUAUUUUGGGCCUCAACUUCUGCACAUUCUGUCUUCUCAUCCACUUCACUGACAUUCUGAAAUAAAAAUGGAACAUCUUUGAAACCUCUGAAAAUAUUUGAAAACUAACAUUUUUGUAUACUUUCGGUAAUAAAGGAAAUUAAAAAAAAAAAAAAGAGGGAAACUUCGAGCUGAUCAUGAUGUAAAUUUUUUAUCAUUUUAAACCUUUUUUUAAGAACUGCAUUAUCACUCACAGGUGUUAAGUCUACCUUCAUUUCUUUCUCAAGGCUUUCUUCCUCACUUUUGAUGGGUGUCUCCUUGUUGACUGUUGUAAUUGCUUCAGCUUGUUCAGUUUCAGCAGCUUUAUUGAACUCCUCAGCCAAUAAGUUCAAGGAUCCUUCAAGCUUCUCCUUUUUUGGUUUCUCCUGCUGCAAGUUCUCAGGUCUGUCCUCAUGGUUUGUCGUGCCAUUUUGGGUUUGCUCAAAGGCAUCA